UAUGAAGAACGUAGCGAAAUGCGAUAAGUAAUGUGAAUUGCAGAAUUCAGUGAAUCAUCGAAUCUUUGAACGCACAUUGCGCCCCCUGGUAUUCCGGGGGGCAUGCCUGUCCGAGCGUCAUUACAACCCUCAAGCUCAGCUUGGUGUUGGGCCCCGCCGCCCCGGCGGGCCCUAAAGUCAGUGGCGGUGCCGUCCGGCUCCGAGCGUAGUAAUUCUUCUCGCUCUGGAGGUCCGGUCGUGUGCUCGCCAGCAACCCCCAAUUUUUUUCAGGUUGACCUCGGAUCAGGUAGGGAUACCCGCUGAACUUAAGCAUAUCAAUAAGCGGAGGA
This 329-nucleotide unclassified non-coding RNA is filed under the name soil metagenome. Its description in RNAcentral is "partial contains 5.8S ribosomal RNA, internal transcribed spacer 2, and large subunit ribosomal RNA". The stretch from base 2 to 120 matches the Rfam family "5.8S ribosomal RNA", at positions 36 to 154 of the family's 154-position model. The record is from RNAcentral.